Helianthus annuus (common sunflower) is the source of this 372-nucleotide long non-coding RNA. RefSeq lists it as uncharacterized. The transcript has 2 exons. The record is from RefSeq and is a predicted model, not a curated record. Lineage: Eukaryota; Viridiplantae; Streptophyta; Magnoliopsida; Asterales; Asteraceae.
GGAAGGCUCCAGAGCUUGGACCCAAAUGAUCUAGUUGGUGGUACAGAGAUUGGACCAGAAUGGUGUGAGGUAAACGUUCAAGUACCAAUAAAAAAGAUGAAAAUUUGGUAAGACCAUAUGGUUUAUUUUCUACAAUUCAAGAUUGUAUUGGUGCAUCUAUCACAUGGCCCUAUCCAUUCAUCUCGGUAGUCCAUGAGGAUUGAGGACGCAUGAUGACUCAAGAUUUUAUGCUUCUUAUUUCUUUAAUUGCUUUUAAUUUCUUUGUUAAAUGUUAAGACCUUAUGUUAGAUAAUGUUAUAACUUAUUUAUGGUUAGUGUUUUUGUUAUGAACAAGCUUAUUUGAAAUAUAAUAAAGUUUUAUUUCUUUCAUUA